GUUUGAUUAUGGCUCAGAUUGAACGCUGGCGGGAUGCUUUACACAUGCAAGUCGAACGCCUUUGAGCUUCGGUCUGGUGGCGAGUGGCGAACGGGUGAGUAAUGUAUCGGAACGUGCCCAGUAGCGGGGAUAACUACGCGAAAGCGUAGCUAAAUACCGCAUACGCCCUUCGAAGAGAAAGCAGGGGACCUUUGGGCCUCGCACUAUUAGAGCGGCCGAUAUCGGAUUAGCUAGUUGGUGGGGUAACGGCUCACCAAAGGCGACGAUCCGCUGGCUGAACGGGGGACGACCAAAAGCACACUGGGACUGAGACACGGCCCAGACUCCUACGGGAGGCAGCAGUGGGGAAUUUUGGACAAUGGGGGAAACCCUGGUCAACCAUCCCGCGUGUGCGAUGAAGGCCUUCGGGUUGUAAAGCACUUUUGGCAGGAAAGAAACAGCACGGGAUAAUGCGAUACAACUGAUACCUGCAGAAUAAGCACCGGCUAACUACGUGCCAGCAGCGCGGUAAUGCAGCAGGGUGCAAGCGUUAAUCAGGAGUACUGGGCGUAAAGCGUGCGCAGGCGGUUCCGGAAAAGAUGCUGAGAAAUCCCAGAGCUUAACUUUGGAACUGCAUUUUAACUACCAGUAGAGUGUGUCAGAGAGGUAGGUGCGAUACGAGAAAUGCGUAGAUAUGCGGAGGAACACCGAUGGCGAAGGCAGCCUCCUGGGAUAACACUGACCGCUCAUGCACGAAAAGCGUGGGAGCAAACAGGUUAGAUACCCUGGUAGUCCACGCCUAAACGAUGUCAACUAGCUGUUGGGGCCUUUGAGCCUUGGUAGCGCAGCUAACGCGUGAGGAGGUGACCGCCUGCAUUUGGUCGCAAGAUUAAACUCAAAGGAAUUGACGGGGACCCGCACAAGCGGUGGAUGAUGUGGAUUAAUAAUUCGAUGCAACGAAAAACGCCACCUACCCUUGACAUGUCUGGAAUCCGAAGAGAUUUGGGAGUGCUCGCAAAGAGAACCGGAACACAGGUGCUGCAUAGCUGUCGUCAGCUCGUGUCGUGAGAUGUUAGGUUAAGUCCCGCAACAGUACAACCCUUGUCCAUUAGUUGCUACGAAAGGGCACUCUAAUGGGGCUAUGAUGACAAACCGGAGGAAGGUGGGGAUGACGUCAAGUCCUCAUGGCCCUUAUGGGUAGGGCUUCACACGUCAUACAAUGGUCAGGACAGAGGUCGCCAACCUUGCGAGGAGCCAAUCCCAGAAACCCGAUCAGCCAGUCGGAUCAUGAUCUGCAGCUCGACUGCGUGAAGUCGGAAUCGCUAGUAAUCGCGGAUCAGCGUAUCGCGGUGAAUACGUUCCCGGGUCUUGUACACACCGCCCAAUACUUUCAUGGAGUAGGUUUACAGAAGUAGUUAGCUAACCGUAAAGAGGCGAUUACACGGUAAGGAUUCAUGACUGGGGCGAAGUCGUAACAAGGUAG
This 1462-nucleotide ribosomal RNA is filed under the name uncultured Bordetella sp. Its description in RNAcentral is "partial 16S-23S ribosomal RNA intergenic spacer". It matches the Rfam family "Bacterial small subunit ribosomal RNA". The record is from RNAcentral. Lineage: Bacteria; Pseudomonadati; Pseudomonadota; Betaproteobacteria; Burkholderiales; Alcaligenaceae.